GUGGGGAAUAUUGGGCAAUGGGCGAAAGCCUGACCCAGCAACGCCGCGUGAAGGAAGAAGGUCUUCGGAUCGUAAACUUCUAUCCUUGGUGAAGAUAAUGACGGCAGCCGAGAAGGAAGCCCCGGCUAACUACGUGCCAGCAGCCGCGGUAAUACGUAGGGGGCAAGCGUUGUCCGGAAUGAUUGGGCGUAAAGGGCGCGUAGGCGGCCUGGUAAGUCUGGAGUGAAAGUCCUGUGUUUAAGGUGGGAAUUGCUUUGGAUACUGUCGGGCUUGAGUGCAGGAGAGGUAAGUGGAAUUCCCGGUGUAGCGGUGAAAUGCGUAGAGAUCGGGAGGAACACCAGUGGCGAAGGCGACUUACUGGACUGUAACUGACGCUGAGGCGCGAAAGUGUGGGGAGCAAACAGGAUUAGAAACCCUGGUAGUCC
This 425-nucleotide ribosomal RNA is filed under the name uncultured bacterium. RNAcentral's name for it is "partial 16S ribosomal RNA". It matches the Rfam family "Bacterial small subunit ribosomal RNA", at positions 354 to 796 of the family's 1533-position model. The record is from RNAcentral.